Trifolium pratense (red clover) is the source of this 1035-nucleotide long non-coding RNA. RefSeq lists it as uncharacterized. The transcript is spliced from 3 exons. The record is from RefSeq and is a predicted model, not a curated record. NCBI's taxonomy places the organism in Eukaryota, Viridiplantae, Streptophyta, Magnoliopsida, Fabales, Fabaceae.
AAUGAAAUGAAAUGAAAUGAAUGAAUAUAUGAAAUCACGACUAAUUCUAACAUGGACCAUUGCCUCAUAUGGUCCAUGAUGGUCGAUCACCUCCAUUACCAUGAAUCUCUGUCUUUCUCACCUCUCUUUCUUUGGCCUCUGUAUCGCAGCAACUCUGAAUCGGAACCCUAACUCACUUCUUCGCUUUAAUUGGAAGAUAUCAUAAGCCUGGCUUCCUGGUUUUUUCUUCCACGGUGUUCAUUCCAUUUCCAAAUUCUCAAUUGAACAUUGAUCGAUUGCUACCAUCAUUUAUGCAAAAACAGUCCUGAAACUUAAACUACCAUGUCUGCCACAUAAUGUAAGGAAGGUAGUUCAAGGAAGAAACAACAAUUAUCGUCUCUCCUAUGAAAGUUAUUGAAGAAAUAUGGCUUUUCCCCUAAAAAGAUUUCCAUGGGACAAUCAGUAGUUUGCCAGUGAGGAAGUAUACCAAUUUCUUUUUGGCAUUCCUCAUUGAAUCAGGAUAAGAAACAUCAUUUGAAUAAAGCACCUAAACUGAAGACUAAGUGCGCGAAACUCAUGGGAGAAAAGGUUGGCGACUGGUUGCUUACGAUCAACCUGACUGAAUUUACAUCUCUUGCUGGUGAAAAGAAAGCAUUGAAACUGUUCAUCUUCUUGCUGAAGUGCUUGGUAUUCGAUGGGGACUGCAAACUGCAAAGGAUUUAAAUUGGCAGACUGUGAGUAUUGUCUCUGAUUUUGACGUUGUUGUUAAUUGUAUCAACUCAAAGGUUCGUGUAACUUCCAUAGAUCAUAUGUUUCAGGACUGCAGAGAUAUGCAUUUCAAGUUUCAAAUACAGUGUUUGUUAAGCGUGGUUUAAAUAAAAGGUCGAAUAUUAGUAACCUUUUGAAAGAUAUGAAUGUAAACAUACAUAUUUCUAGUAAUUUCUAGUAAUAUUUAGACUAUGACCACUAUUUUUCCUUGUGCUCUUCUUCUUGCAAGUUGUAACUAAACUGUAUUACUUAGUACUUAGUAACAAGCAUACAAUUUAUAUUUCUUUA